This 740-nucleotide long non-coding RNA is filed under the name Pan troglodytes (chimpanzee). RNAcentral's name for it is "long non-coding RNA NONPTRT007435". The record is from RNAcentral. Lineage: Eukaryota; Metazoa; Chordata; Mammalia; Primates; Hominidae.
AGAAUGUCUGCAGUAUUUCCUGAAAUAAGUAUCCCUCAAGGAUGAUACUGUGGACCUCACUCAGGAAGAAUGUGUCCUUCAGAGAAAGCUGCGCAGAGACGUGGUGCUGGAGAAGCAGUCAUCUGGUUACUUUGGUACAUGACUUCAGGCUCCUAUGUGCAGAAGUCCUCAACCCCCAGGCUGCAGACCAGUACCUGUCCAUGGCCUGUUAGGAAACUGGCCGCACAGCAGGAGUGUGUACUGUCAUUGUUGCUACAGGUGAAAUGAUUAUUGCAGUUUUGAGGGGAGAUGAUGUCACAAGAUCUCGAACCCAUAUCUCAGAACUGCCUGCCUCCUCCCACACACUCUGGCUGUCCUGACCAUCACUUCAAGCCCACCAGCCCUGCAGCAAAAAAAAUCAAACGAGUAGUUCAGAAGGCAAAGUCUGCAAGGGAAGGAAGUGUAUUGGGAGGUACAGUAAGUACUCCUGUCUGGAGAAGGUCUUCUUUGGGGCUAGAAACUGAGCCAGUGCUAAAGCCAUGCAGGAAGGAGGAAAUAAUCAGUGAGCCACGGGCUGAACUUGUGGAGAAGAAAUGGAGGGCAAGGUCACAAACCAGUCCCUAACUGCUUCUAAUUUAAUGUAAUCCUCACUGUUUGUCAUUAUUGCUUUUGAUGGCCAUGAAAUCUGUUUUUUUCCCAGUUCUCUAGUGUAAUUUGGAAUUAAUUUCCCAGCUGCUUUAUUUUUUUUCUAGAAGAGUCAG